UGAAGAGAAUAGCGUCCUUAGAG
Molecule: non-coding RNA, 23 nt
Filed under: Mus musculus (house mouse)
Lineage: Eukaryota; Metazoa; Chordata; Mammalia; Rodentia; Muridae
Source: RNAcentral